GGCCUUGUGGCUCAACGGCAGAGCGUCUGACUCCAGAUCAGAAGGUUAUCCGUUCAAAUCGGGUCAGGGUCA
Non-coding RNA from Cercophora newfieldiana, 72 nucleotides. The record is from the annotation of a GenBank genome assembly. NCBI's taxonomy places the organism in Eukaryota, Fungi, Ascomycota, Sordariomycetes, Sordariales, Lasiosphaeriaceae.